RNAcentral lists this transfer RNA (76 nucleotides) under Acidobacteriota bacterium. RNAcentral's name for it is "Acidobacteria bacterium tRNA-Thr". It matches the Rfam family "tRNA". Rfam says of the family: Transfer RNA (tRNA) molecules are approximately 80 nucleotides in length. Their secondary structure includes four short double-helical elements and three loops (D, anti-codon, and T loops). The record is from RNAcentral. Lineage: Bacteria; Pseudomonadati; Acidobacteriota.
GCCGAUGUAGCUCAGUUGGUAGAGCACGUCCUUGGUAAGGACGGGGUCAGCGGUUCAAUUCCGCUCAUCGGCUCCG